GUGGCACCACCACCUCUGCUACCAUAGAUGGACUUAUGCCAGGUGACCGCUAUAUCUUCAAAAUCCGUGGAGUCAAUAGGAAGGGCCAAGGACCACAGACUAAAGCCAUCAUUGUUGCAAUGCCUGCAUCCAGCUCUACUCACUUAAGGAACACAGACAGCCACAAGACAAGUCAAAGUGCCUCCAAGACAUCAUCAAACAAAGAAUCAGACAAUCAGGAGCCAGAUGAGAUGGAAGAGUCCGAUACUCAGACCACAACUCAAGCGCCACCCACCAAUAGACGAGGACGCCCUCUUUCUCAAACAAGGUCCUAUCACAGCAUCUUCUCCUCUGUGAGGGGUUCUGUCAGAAACGGAGGUUCUAGCUCAAGGUCAAACUCACAUUCAUCCUCCACUCAUGCCAAAGAUAGAGAAGGCAAUACAAAUGAGGAAGAGAAGCCAACAGACAGUCCAAUAGAAGAGGAAAUCAGAGCAAAUGAGGCUAUUGAGGACACAAAACCAGAGAGCAGUAAUAAUGCAUCACCACAAACAGAGGAGCCUUCAAAAUACUCACCUGACACUAAAGAAUCAAAUCCCAAUCAGUCUGAAUCUGUCCAUAAAACAUCUGAGGACAAACGUCCUUCUUGGACCCCUCGCACAUCCUCAGUUGUUGAUAUUAGCAGAUUAAGAAGGCCUAAUUCUCGAUCAAGAAUGCGGAGUGAAGAUUCUUCCAAUUUGUCGCAAAACCAAGAGUCUGCAACUAUAAGAAAGGACCUAACAGCAGUCUCCUAUCCUGAGGGAAAGAACUCGUACAGCCAGAUAAGUGUCACAGACAGGACACCUUCAGUGAUCUCACCUCAGGAAACCAUGCCUGAACCAGUGAAAAAAUCAGAAUCAUCCUCAUCCAUCUCUUCUUCUCCAACAUCCGCUUCCUCCUACUCCGCAUCAUCUUCAUCAUCUUCUUCUUCCACCUCAUCUUCUUCAGGAUCUUCUCCUUCAUCAUCCUCACCAUCAUCAUCAUCAGGUGCAAGAAGGAUUUCCUCCACUUCAGGUCGAGUCACAAGUUCAGGAUCUGGUGCCAUGUACCCUAAUGGAAGAAGAGUUGGAAUUUCAACUAGAGCUCAGAGACUUCAAACAGGAGAGCACAAACUUGAUUCAUCAUCAACAUCUGCUUCUUCACAGUCCACACUGCCAAUGGGAACCAGGACAAACAGUCACGAUACAACAGAGGAGCAUGAUACCAACCACAAGAACACGGAGCUAGAUGACACAAAGGGUGAACAACCAACUGAAGAAACAAAAAAAAACUUUUCUGAUACAACUGAAGAGGAACACCCAGAACAAAAGGAAAAUUAUGAUAACAAAGAAGAGAAAAGCAAUAGUUAUGGUUCCACUUCCCAUUCUUCUUCAAGGACUACCCCUUCUACAAAAGGAAGAAGUUCACCCCUUUCAUUACCAAACCGAAAUUCUAGGAUAGUUUCAGGGAGUCGCAGACAAGAUGGGAGAAUACCGUGGAGUAGGACUGCCUCAUCUAUAGGUGCAGGAAGGCCAAUUAUUACAGGAUUUCCUUCUCGUUCUACUGCUGUGAGCUCUCAAGACACUAGCAAUAAAACUCAAAUUUCACCCACAACAUACCCUUCAAAGCAUGAGGUUAAUCCUGUCUCAAAUAAACCUAGUGUGCUAAAUAAAGAAACAAAUGUUGCAAUAAAUUACAACAAUCCCAGUAAUAAUGAAGAUGUAAAAAUUAACAAAGAUCAUGAAGAUGAUUAUCUUUACGAGGGAAGCAGAGAGACCUUGGACAGGCAAAGCAAAGAUGCCACCUCAACUGCUGCACCUAAAACAACAACAACUGUGAGUGAACCUCACAGACCUGUCCAGAACUUUGAGAAUGAAAGUGUGGAUAGGGAACAAAGUAGUACCAGUACCAGUACCAGUUCAAAGUCAAUUCCUUCAGUUGCCCAAAAAGUCCCUAUUUUGGCUUCUAAUGGUCAGGUCCGUUCACCUGUGGUAGCAAGCCGUCUGAAAGGUUCACGGUUCCCUGGUAGGGUGUAUCCAGUACAACACAGAAGACUGGGCUCUGUUUCCACACCGGGCUCUUCAUCAUCUUCAUCACACUCCUCUUCAGCAUCAUCAUCUGCCUCCUCUCAAAAUAGUCCAGCAGAAUCACCACUUAUCUCAGAUCGGGACACAGCUGACAGGAGUAAUACUAAUGUUAGGCUCACCCCAAGUUCAGUUUCUCGCUCUUCCCAUGGGCUGUCUGCUGGUGAAAGCUCUAGAGGGAAUUUAUCUCCUGAGUCUCGAAAUCCAGUGAUGGGAUCGAGGCUGC
Long non-coding RNA from Sinocyclocheilus anshuiensis, 2304 nucleotides. The record is from Ensembl. NCBI's taxonomy places the organism in Eukaryota, Metazoa, Chordata, Actinopteri, Cypriniformes, Cyprinidae.